Mya arenaria is the source of this 3750-nucleotide long non-coding RNA. RefSeq lists it as uncharacterized. The record is from RefSeq and is a predicted model, not a curated record. NCBI's taxonomy places the organism in Eukaryota, Metazoa, Mollusca, Bivalvia, Myida, Myidae. The transcript has 6 exons.
AAAGGGUAGAUAGGUAUUACUUUUUUGGACAACCAUAAUUCUUAAGCAAACUGACCUGUACACUAAUCAGGGUAUUAUUGUAGGUCUCUGAAAAACGCAUUUUGAUCAAAACGCAAACAGGUGAGGAUUAAAAAUAUUUUAUUUUAUUUAUGGUAAAAUAUACUUUUUCUGCACAUUGUUUCGGACAUAGUCAGAUAAUAAACAGCGUAUUGAAGUUACUCUAUGGUUGGAUUGCCGUUCCAGCAACUUAUGAUUGGCGGUUUUUGACGUGUAUACCUUUGCUUUCCUGUUGUAAUAGCUACUUCACAAAAUAGCCGAGUGACUGAUAUAAUAUAUUAUUUCGUUUUUAAUUUAUGGUAUCUUAUUUGAUCUGGAUUUUGAAAAGUAGGGUUCAUUUAAUAGCUUGAUUGAUAAAGCAAUGUAAUUUAUCCGCAAUGAAUGACAGUUUACACGCUAAACACUCAACAAUAUAAAUAGCGUAGAAAUCGCUUUCUUGUAAUGAUAAAGUAGCGCAUUCGAAUUUGUAUACUAUGAGCAUGGAGCAAAGUACUUGAAAUUCGUCUUUUUAUGAAUAAUCGUUUCAUUUUGAGUUACAGCAUCAUUCUCUAAAGGUUAUGGGUUGAACCUUCAAACCUAUGGAUGCGACAUUUGUCAGGUAGGGCAGUAGUACAAUCCUAGUAUUGGUGCGAUCCCCAACUUCUGCAAAGUAUGUAGAAGUGGGACAAUCAACUUUCAGAUCGGACAGUCAUCGUGUCCGGUAAUGAGUGAGUGAUUUUAAUGUUUUGUAAAUUUAUUUCAUGAAGUUAUACAACAGAAACAAAAAUCAUAAUGUUUUUCCUAACACGGAAAUCAACCAUGCCUAACAUUGUGUGUAUUUCCUCACUAAAAUUAUUUCAUUUAUACUUGUAGAUAUUUAAAUAUUCCUAUUAUAACUUAUUUAAAAGUGCAUAUAAGAGUCAACAUACAAAUAGUGAAUGAAUAAUCAAUUUAAAUCGGCACCCUUUUCACUGAAAAGCUAAAUUGAAACUUAAUAUACAUGUUGGUAUGAAUUUGUUUUGUUAUAGCUGACCCAGCAGUUUAUCGAUAUAAAACUUACGAAGUAAUGAUCAAACACAGGGCAGAUAUCGCCGACUGUAAUAUUGAUAUACGAAUCAUCGAGACACAGGUGUCUUUUGCAAUCCGGAUGACGUUUGUUGAACAGAGGGCUGCACGAUAUUAUGGUCCACGAUCCUUCUGUUCAUCUAUCACGUGCAGUAAUAUUGCAGUAGAUUUUGACAAAGAUACCAACUGCAAUCUUGUGACCCGAAGACGUAAGAGGGCUCUGGAAUACGAAUUAGUUUUCAUGGUUUCCUUUGCUGACAUAAGUUAGACGUUAUUUAAAUUUCAUAAUACAAAACUGUGGAAGUAAAAUGACAUUAUAAUCAGACAGCUCCCACGUUGUUGCCUUUAAAAUGUAUUUAGGUUAAAAACGAUGAUGUCAUCUUCAAAUAUUAUUCUCAUGUGUGACAUUUAUUCAUGAUUGUGCUUGUCAUAUUUAAUUUCAUACCUUGUUAGAUACAAGCGGUUGAACAUUACCCCCCCCUCUUCCCCAAUCUUAUCCAAGAUCUAGUGAAACGAGCAAUACAGACCCUCGAAUUUGAGCAGUAAAUUUAUUUCACUCCCUUUCAGUACAGUAAUUACUGACUCUGUUCAAAACGAGGAAAUGUCGACAAGAGACAUCAUACUCCUGAUAAUAUAGUUAAACGCAGCCCCAUUGCAACCCUCUGAUUUGGUUGGAAUAGUACGAUAUGAUAGCAUCGGACCAAUAGUAUCCAAGGGGGAAAUGUACUCCCGGAUACAAGAUACUUAGAGACACAUGCACCCCUUGUCCAUUAGGAAGCCGCGGCACUGAUGGGGAUACGUGUCUACCAUGCGGUGUGGACACAUACCAAGAUCAAACAGGCCAGGCGGACUGUAAAUUGUGCCCUACCAACUGAAACAACCAAGACCAAGGAGCAACAACAGUAUCUGCGUGUAAAGUUUCAGAUGAAGAGAAAAGCAGCCCUGCUAUUAUCAUAGGUGCUUCUGUCGCUGGUGGACUUACAUUCCUUAUUAUCGUUGCCUUCAUUAUUUACCGACGCAGAAAAGGAAGCAGGAAGUUACCUGAAGAAGACCGUUCCGGCCGGAGUGAUAAUGCCAAUCCUGGGAACGUCUAUGAGCUACCGCUGGACACCGAAACUGACAUACAUAAUACUAAAGACGAAUAUGAAGUGAUACCUGCGGAUGUUAACUAUUAUAUGACUAUAAAAGAAGAUCAAUCACCUGCUGGACCUUUCCUAGACACAGUUCAAAAUGUUGAUUCUGUGUCUUCAGAAAGAAAUGUUUACACCCAGCUUGACGUUGAUCGUUUGAAUGACAGGGCAAAAGAGUAUCAGCAGUUGACAUUGAAAGAUCCUGAUGACUAUCUUGUCCCUGUGCGAACGGCGAAAAUUGGCAACAUCAACACAUCUAAUUUGUAAAUUGACAAAUUUACAUCAUUUGUUUACAUGCUUCAGCUUUCAUUCUCGUUUCUCAUGAAUUCUACCGAGUUGGCGAAAAGAACUAUAAAACGCAUCGGUAUUCUUUCGUGCGAUUAUUAGAUAAUUGUUAUUUUUGAGUAUUGUUUUAUUCAACUAAUUAACUGUAACACAAGUAUAUUGGAUAUAAGCGCGUUGUUAAAACAUUCAUGAACAAUUCCGUUAAAGUAAUGUUACGGUUAAAGGAGUAUUAUAUCUCAACCUAGUCAGAUUGUUGUUCCGAGAUAAUAAAUGAGUAAAUUCGGCAUAUUGGUAAGAUAAAGUUGCAUUUGUGUAAUGUCCAAAAAUUAACACAGUCAGAAAGGAACUCUGGGGUUCGAUUAUAGUCGACUAUCAUCUAGAUCUCUGAAAAUUCAAUGCCAACAUUUACUAGGAAUAACCAUGGCUACCAACGAUAGCCAUCAAACGAAAAACGUAUUUGUUGCAACAGCUAUACACAACAUGCUCCGUUAGUAGCAUUUUAUUAUUAUUUUAUGACUUGAGCUUAGAAUUCUACAAAUGUUUGAUACAAUGUAAACCGCGUUUUGUUUAUUUAGGAUUUUACUUUCGAGCUGGAUUAAUUCAAAGAAGUGCGUUGACAUAAUUAUGGAUUAUAUUUCUGUAUAUUAUAAAUUACUUUCUACGUAUUAUUAAAAUAUGAUUCCCAUUCUGCACUGAACCUUUGAGUACAAAUCAAUAUACAUGUUUUCUAAAGUAAUAUUCGUUUUGUAAUGCAUGAACAUGUAUCUAAUGUAUAAGUGUUUAGUUAUAUGUACGUUGUAUAACCAUUGUAUACAUCUAUAUUAUAAUAUGUUGACUAUAUCUAAUAUGAACUUUUAAUAACCUUUGUAAUUUAUAUAUAUAAUAACGUAGUCAUAUUUGCAAACAUGAAACUUUAUAUAUGUAUUUGUAUAUUUAUAUAUGUAUUUCUAAAUAUAACUCUUAACCAAGGAAAUUAAGAUUCAUUCUAAGCUAAAAUGAGCAGUAUGAAUAGAAGAUAUAUAUUUUGAAAUAUUUAACACAGCAAUGUUCCAUCUUAAACGUCGAUAAUUUUUGACACUUCUAUUUUAAAUCAUGACGUUCAUACUAACGGACCAUGGCAACACCAUUAUAGAUUACCUUGCGAAUCGAAUAUUUGGAAUUGUUGGAACAGCAAUCAUUUUAAAAUUCAACCGCACACAAACAUACUCAUAUACGUUUUGGUGUAUGCAUUGUA